RNAcentral lists this ribosomal RNA (468 nucleotides) under uncultured bacterium. RNAcentral's name for it is "partial 16S ribosomal RNA". It matches the Rfam family "Bacterial small subunit ribosomal RNA", at positions 28 to 507 of the family's 1533-position model. The record is from RNAcentral.
GACGAACGCUGGCGGCGUGCUUAACACAUGCAAGUCGAACGGAAAGGCCCUGCUUUUGUGGGGUGCUCGAGUGGCGCACGGGUGAGUAAAACGUGAGUAACCUGCCCUUGACUUUGGGAUAACUUCAGGAAACUGGGGCUAAUACCGGAUAGGAGCUCCUGCUGCAUGGUGGGGGUUGGAAAGUUUCGGCGGUUGGGGAUGGACUCGCGGCUUAUCCGCUUGUUGGUGGGGUAGUGGCUUACCAAGGCUUUGACGGGUAGCCGGCCUUGGAGGGUGACCGGCCACAAUGGUACUGAGAGACGGCCCAGACUCCUACGGGAGGCAGCAGUGGGGAAUAUGGCACAAUGGGCGGAAGCCUGAUGCAGCAACGCCGCGUGCGUGAUGACGUGCUUCGGGGUGUAAACCGCUGUCUCCGGUGACGAAGCGGGAGUGACGGUAAUGGGUAAAGAAGCACCGGCUAACUACGUG